AGAGAAAAUGUCACUUUGGGAUCACUGCUGUCCUCAGAGAAGGGAAGACCAAGUUCAAUUGUAACUGGCAACCUAAUUCCAGUCUCGUUCUUGUGGUCAGCUUCUUCCGCCCUGUGUUCCUAAAGUGGAGCCACCAGCCACAUACAACAGCAGAAACUAUGUGCAGAGGAUGGGCCGGGUACCGAGACGAAACAGCAGGCCUAAUUAUUUAGAACAUUUCCGUAAACCAG
RNAcentral lists this long non-coding RNA (230 nucleotides) under Ictidomys tridecemlineatus (thirteen-lined ground squirrel). RNAcentral describes it as "lncRNA (ENSSTOG00000032253.1)". Lineage: Eukaryota; Metazoa; Chordata; Mammalia; Rodentia; Sciuridae. The record is from RNAcentral.